This 1511-nucleotide unclassified non-coding RNA is filed under the name Hevea brasiliensis (rubber tree). Lineage: Eukaryota; Viridiplantae; Streptophyta; Magnoliopsida; Malpighiales; Euphorbiaceae. The record is from RNAcentral.
GUCUAAAUCCCCCGGCUGCUGCUUUCACCUACUACGUACUGACUUCCAUUAAUGCUUUUCUCCGAGUCUUAUUAAAUUUUUUUCUUUGGUAUAAUUCAAUGAGAGUCCAACUCAAUACCAUAUAAUUCUGGAGGAGGACUCCAGAAUUUCGACUCCAGAAUUAGGUAUUUUGUUUUGAUUUUUUAAACAGGAACCAACAAUGAAAGUUACCUGGUAUUUGCUUGCUUUCCUCUUGAUCCAUGGGCUGCUCCUUUGUAGUUGUGAAGGGAAGGCCCUUGAAUGGGAAUCCCCUUCUACUGAAUUUUCUCAUCAUCAUUACAAGCUGAAGGUGUUGACCAGAAGGCCUUUUCAUAGAAUAUCACCACCACCACCUCCUAAGCUUAACAAUCGUCCUCAACAGAAGCCAAAACCGCCACCAUUACCAUCACCACCGCCACCCUCACCCUAUCCCAUAUAAUCACCUUCAUAUUGACUCUAUAUUUUUCUUGGUUCAGAAGCUUCUUUGUGUUGAAAUCUGAUUCAAAAAUUGGUAAAAAUUGGACUUUGUCUUUGAUGUUAGUUUUAGCUGUAGAUUCUUGCCCCUUAAUUUUCUGUCUUCAGUUGAUAGAAUGAAUCUAGAAGUAUUGGCAAUAAUAUCUGAUGUUAGUUGAGAUUUUUUCAGCCUUUUCACUUUGCUUGUGCACUUUCAGUUCUGGAAUAAAUAGCAGAUAGCUUCAAUUUCUGCAUUUCUUUAUCUUAUUUCCUUUUCUGCAAUUUCUUAUGCCCUGUUGCUUAAAUUCUCAACAUUUGUUCUGUUCAGAUUAGUUUUUCUUUUCCAGAUUUUUAAUUUACUCAUAUUUAUUAGUUUAGUUGUCUAUUGGGGAUCGUCAUGAUAUCAAUUGACACUAUAAAUAUGAAUGGAGUAAAGAUGCAGAAACUUGGUUGAAAUGGUCAGUGAUAAAUAAAUAGUAGGAAGGAUGAUGGGAUCCAAACUAUUUAUCUUGUUCAGCAAUUGGAAUUUUCAGUUCAUACUUGUUCACAUUCAUCUGGAUCUUCAUCAACUAUUUACAUGACUGCAACUCAUAUAUACUUUAGUUUCUGGGUCUUCCUUGGAAAUUAUUCUGUCGUUUUAUUUAUUUAUUUUCAAGAUCCUAACAUUCUUUAGCAAAGUAACAAGCCUACCAUCAUGAGCCACAGAUUUUCUCAGGACUUGCUGCAAUGCAGUCAUGAGUAAUCAUGAAUUGGAGGUUUUGACUUGUUUUUUUUUUUUUAAAUAGUAAAAACAUCCGUUUCAUUUAUCUUUGUAAUCUGCGUAAGAAAUUAAAGAAGAUCAUUAUAAUAUUAAAAGUAUCAAAUCAAAAGAAAUCAGCCAUAACUGCCAAAUAGCCUAUCUCAAAAGACAACAUGAAACACUGCCAACCGUUGAUUCCGACUACGAAGAGAAAAGACAAGAAACUGAUAGCCCAGUGAUGAGCAGUGGAGGGAGAAGGAGGCAUGGGAAUUACACCAACCCCUGCUUGACCAUGCACCAA